UGAACUACCAAAGUGGAAGGUGAAUAGAUUUAUCAUCUGCAAAGCCUUGUUAGUCAAUAUCUUUCUGUCUGUGACACUAAAGUGAAGUUUCCAAGAGCAAGCUAGAGAUCAGCAUUGGGUUACUGCCACACAGACUUUGUGUAGUGGUCCUUGCUGCUCACCUAGAACUUUGAUCCCGUGUGAUUGAAUCUGCUUCUUUUAAUGCUCUUUCUCUGUAUAUUGUGUUUCUGUCUUUAAUGACAGAGACCCAAUUUUGGUCCUUUCUCUUAUAUUUUGUCUUAUAUUACCUGCUCCCCAGUAUGUGUGCUAACCUGAUAUUAGAAUAUACAAUAAUACUGUCUGGAAGGUCAAGAAUUUUAGCACUAAGAUUCUAAAGUUCACAAAGUUGAUCUAUGUGCGUGUGUGUGUGUGUGUGUGUGUGUGUGUGUGUGUGUGUGUGUGUGUGUGUGUGUGUGUAUGUGUAUAAAUUAAAUAUGUGAGAUUGCCAGAGAAGCAUUCCUGUUGUGUGAUAUUUUAUUUAUGUUCCGACAAAUAAAACUUGCCUAGAGAACAGAGGGCAAACCUAGCCACCCUCUGGUUAGCCAUAGAAGCUGGGCAGUGUUGGCUCAUGCCUUUCAUUCCCAGAUUUGGUAGGCUCAUGCCUUUAAUCUCAGCAGUGGGGAGGCAGAGAGAGGAAGUGAUAGGUCAGGACAGAGACAGGAUCUCAGCCAUUUUGGAUUGAGAGAGGAGACAGGUAGGAAGUAACUAGAAACUGCUCCAGGUUGUUUGAUCUUCCACAUUUGUACACAAAUAUUUGACUCCUGAUUUUUUCAUUGAUAAAGAUUAAUUAGAUUAAUGCUUUAUAUUCCCCUCUACAGCCAUUCAGUGAUGUGUUAUUUGAACUGUGUCACGUUGACAACAGAUUUCAGAAAGGGCAGACGUAGAGGUCUGGGAUAGAAGUGAGAUAUCAUAAAUUUCAACACAGUAAAGAGAACUCUGAAGACCUCAAAUCAGUGGUUCUCAACAUGUGGGUCAUGACCAUUUCACAUCUGUUUCAUAUCAGAUAUUUAUAUUACGAUUCAUAAUAGUAGCAAAAUUGCAGUAAUGAAGUAGGAAUGAAAUAAUUUUUUAUGAUGGGGGUCACCAGGUCUUAGCAUUAGGAAAUUUCAGAACCACUGCCUUAAAUUAUCAGCUAUGUUCUCCAUAAAAGUAUCAUUGAAAAAUUCCUAUGCACUAUUGUAUGAUGUUUGGGGAUGUUUUCUCCUUCAGUCUGUUCUAGUUCAGAAAAUUUACUAAAUUUCUCCAACUUCUUGAUGGUGAGAAAAUAGUAACAUAGCUUCUUGUUAACAGAAAAAAACAUAAAAUAUUACAUAGACAGUUAAUAGGCUUUGGGUCAUGGUUUAUAACUGUAACUGUCAUGAAAGUAACUAUAGUUCCUAUAUGCCUGAUAAACCCAGUUCUAACUCAGCUAUCAUGUUGAAUACUCCAGUAUUAUGUUGUGUCUGAACUGAAACCAAAUGCUGUUGUUGCAGAU
Molecule: long non-coding RNA, 1513 nt
Filed under: Cricetulus griseus (Chinese hamster)
Lineage: Eukaryota; Metazoa; Chordata; Mammalia; Rodentia; Cricetidae
Description: lncRNA (ENSCGRG00015042331.1)
Source: RNAcentral